CUCUUUAGGGCCACAUCUGUGGCAUAUGGAGGUUCCCAGGCUAGGGGUCGAAUUGGAGCUAUUGUUGCCAGCCUAAACCACAGCCACAGCAACAUGGGAUACGGGCUGCACUUGUGACCUACACCACAGCUCACGGCAACCCGGGAUCCUUAACCCACUGAGCAAGGCUGGAAACCUCCCUAUGCCAUGGGUGCGGCUAAGGAAAAAGGCAAAAAAGACAAAAAAAAAAAAAAAGAACUUUUAACUUUCAAUAUCUAGAAUGGAACAAAUUAUCACCCAAUAGAAAUCCCUGCAGACAGAAUAUGCUUUUUCCUAAAUUUAAAAAGUGCCCUCAUUUCCUCAUUAAACAAAUAAUAUACGCCAAACCUUUUUAAAUUGGAAAAUAACCAAAAAGCUGUGUCACACUACCUAGUAGGCACUCACUGUUAAUAUUUUGGCAUAUUCCUUAUAGUCUUUUACCUGUAUUUGGGGUCAAUUAGAGUCCUCUUAAAGUUGUAAUCAAACUAAACAUUAUUAUUUACAUCCUGUUACCUUAAGUAUUUCUCAUGCUGCUGUACAACCAUGUAUCAGUCAUUAUUCCAUCAGCCGUAACUCAAGAAUAAGCUGAACAUACAAUAUAUAAUGGAAUUACGGACAGUUUCAUAACAGUCUCUGAAAUAUUUAGUUAGAGAUAAACAUAUGAAGAAUUCCAGGCUUCUUUCUAAAAGCUAAACUUAAUUUCUGGCAAGCAUGACUGGUAAUUAUAACCAAAAGCCAAAUAUUAUGGAGUCCUUUUUUUAGACUAAGCAAUCUUACCACUCAGCAUAUAUAAUCACUGAAACACUUCCAGCAUAAUGAUAUCUGCUCAGCUACUGGCAGCCAUAAAUGUUCCUGAAAGCCAGAGAAAUGUAAAAAUUCUCUAAUAUGAUUUGCAAAGCAAAACUUAUAUCUGAACAAACUGAAACCAUAAAACUGGUCAUAAACAUAAUAUAUUCUGAGAAAAUUCAUACUCAUACAUAUUUUCACCUAUGAGAAGUAGAUAUAUAAAUCAACAUAAAAAUAAAACCAAUCAAUAUUGGAAAAUGUUUUAUCUACUUAACAGUCUUGAGUUCACAUAAGCACAUCAAAUUAUUUUUAAAUUCUACAUGAAAUCACUGAAGGAAAAUUAUUUAAAUUUUCAAAAAAGAUACUUGGGUAUCCUAACAGUACCAGAAAACAAGUGCUCAAAAAAAUAAACUGAAGGGAGUAUGCCAAAGGAACACAGAAGCCAACUCAACGAGCUCCAAAUGGCCAAAGGCAGAACAAUUGAGCAAAAACAUAAAGUAUUGGAUUAUACUUUAUAAACUAAAGUAUAAAGUUUUAGGAUUAUAAACUAAAGUACAAAGUAAAUAUCCAUGACUGCAUACUGACACAAAUAACUGCCUAAAUAAAUAAAUAGGAGAAAACAGGCAAGUCUGCUGCACAGAAGAACUCUGAAUAAUUUAUGUAAAUACUGCCUCCUCAGAAAGAAAAGUACAACUCCCCAGCCCUUAAGUGUGGGUUCUCUGCAUGGUAACUUCUUUCCAAAAAGUAAAGUAUGGUGGUGGUGGUAGGGGUGAGUACUGUACUCUGCAAAAAUCCGACAAACGCCACCUUGGCCAAGUGAUCUAGACAUCGACAGUGAUAAUUCAUGUUGAUAGCAGGUACCAUUAAUAUAAUGUGAUGAAAAUGGCACUCUUAUCACUGCAGUCUUUCCCCCCAAGAACCCACAAUCCCCUUGUAAUUAUGAGAAAAAUAUCACACAAAC
RNAcentral lists this long non-coding RNA (1765 nucleotides) under Sus scrofa (pig). Its description in RNAcentral is "lncRNA (ENSSSCG00055010170.1)". The record is from RNAcentral. Lineage: Eukaryota; Metazoa; Chordata; Mammalia; Artiodactyla; Suidae.